Molecule: non-coding RNA, 411 nt
Organism: Paramuricea clavata
Lineage: Eukaryota; Metazoa; Cnidaria; Anthozoa; Malacalcyonacea; Plexauridae
Source: the annotation of a GenBank genome assembly
AUUAAAAUGGCGACUCUAAGGACGUGGAAGGAAUAAUUUUUUAACGAUAAGGUUUGUUGUCCACACCAACGUUGCAUGGAUAAAACUGCCUUCUUUAACAAAGCAGCUUCAAAACAACAUUUAUACAUUUUACAAGAUUCCGCAGGCCCUCUCGAAAUCAUGACCUUCCCAUGACACAGCGUGGGCCUGCGGAGGAGGCAGAUUUAAAUGGUCCGUUGGAGCCUGGCACUAGUUAUAGUAUUUCUUAAAGGAUUAAUUAUCAUCAAUAAAAAGGUAUGGUAUUAGGAGAGAGUAAAGAGGGAGCAAGCAGGAAACCUUCAGUCAAUUAUAAUAUGUCAUUUUCAGACCCUCCGCUCGGAAGAUUCGGCGAAACUGAUCUUACGUUCAGUGAUUAUAUUAGGGAGCUUAAGC